This is a long non-coding RNA of Astatotilapia calliptera (eastern happy), 1595 nucleotides long. NCBI's taxonomy places the organism in Eukaryota, Metazoa, Chordata, Actinopteri, Cichliformes, Cichlidae. The record is from Ensembl.
AUUUUACUCUUUUUUUUAUAUUUUUUAUUUAUAUUUGUCUGAUUUUUAUCUAGAUGUUACUGUCGUUUUGUGCGAUUUAGUUGUUUUUUCUUUAACGUUGAGGAUGCUGUGAGCCUAAGAAUUUAAUUGCCAAAUAAAAACUGAAACGUCUUUAAUGACUGUGUGUAGUGAUGUUUUUAAAGAUGUUACAUAAACGAUCUUCUCUUGUAUCGUGACCCAAAAUGGCCUGACUCAAGAAGUCACAGUGGAUUCUGUGGAACAGAGAAAUUGGGUGGGUCAGUUUGUUGUGUAAUUCAGUUGAGUUAAUAAUUUUGCACGUGUAAUUCCAACUAAAAACACACCAGUGAUUUCAUAAUCCUGCUGCUCCUGUCGUGUAUAUAAAGGCAGGAGUUUCUGUCAGAGAUCAGCAGCGUUCAGCCGUCCAGAAGACUUCAUCCAGCCACACAGCGUCUCUGCACACUCGAACUCAAAAUGCCCGAGUACAUCACUGAACUCCAAGUGUCUUGGAAUAAAGAUGAUGAGGAGACUUUCAGUAAGCAAGGCUUCAGUAAAAUUCCUGUUAAUCUGAACCAAGGAGCUGGAGGAAACAUCAUCUACCUUUGGUACAAGAAAGGCAUGGGCGCAGGAAUCUCCACCAUUCAAUUUUCAUUCAGCCAAGAGAUGACCAAUGGCCUGCUCGAAGCAAAAUAUACAAAGAUCAAUGAAAACCUCAAUGAGGGAGCAGGUGGAGACGAAAUCUACCUGUGGUACUCCAAGUCUGACAAGAAUGUUCCCAUCAAGAACAUUGAUGUCACUGAAGAUGCAGAUGCUGAAGCUCAGAAGUUUAAAGACAGCUGGGAGAGACUGGCCUGUGACCUGAACCGCAAUGCUGGAGGAAACCUGAUCUACAUGUGGGUGGAGAGGGAGACACAAACCUACAUCUCUGAGAUCAAGACCACUAUUAACUGCAGUGGAGAUGGGGAUAAUUUCAACAAUGGCUACAUCCGAGUGGAUGAAAACACCAACAGGGGUACAAAUGAGAGAGGUAGUCCUACGCCUACCAUCUUCCUCUGGUACCGCCUGAGCACCUACCCCAAGGAUGCCUUCAGAGAUCUGAAAGUCUCCACAAACCAGAGCGAAUAUGAAAAGUAUCAAAAUGCAGGCUAUCAGCGGGUGAACCAGGACCUGAACGAGGGGACUCGAGGAAACAAGGUGUUCCUGUGGUACAAGAAAGACGGCAGUAAAAACCCCAUCAAGGCCGUCACUGUGAUCACCAACAUCCCAGGAGCUGUGGGGCCGUACCAGAGUGCCGGGGUCAACGUCAUCGAGGGGAGCCUAAACGCGGGCGGCAACGGUGUUCCCAUUUAUGUGUGUUUUAAUCAGUGAGGGUAACCAUGGUAACAGAGCUGAGCAUGCUCACUGAGCAGAAAGAUGUUUCUGUUAAAAUGGUUUGGUGAUGGGUUUUCUUUCCUUUCUGUAAUGAUCUUCAAUCACUGUGAUCUCAGAGCUUUGACUCCACCAGUGAUCAUUGAUCCAAUCAAUCUGUUUGAUUAGCUCUGUAUCACUUUAUUCUGAUGAUUGUCUCUGUUUCAAUAAAGCCUCUUUAGCAUCUGAAA